CUCUUAUCCAGAGCGGAGGAGGGACAGCCCCGAUGAAUCCCGGCAACCGGAUCUGAUGAUCACGGUGCCAAUUGCUGCGGGGUGGACUCUGUCCCCGGCAGAUGAGAG
RNAcentral lists this non-coding RNA (108 nucleotides) under Bacillota bacterium. RNAcentral's name for it is "Firmicutes bacterium SAM-I sequence". It matches the Rfam family "SAM riboswitch aptamer (S box leader)". From Rfam's summary of the family: The SAM riboswitch is found upstream of a number of genes which code for proteins involved in methionine or cysteine biosynthesis in Gram-positive bacteria. The SAM riboswitch acts at the level of transcription termination control. The predicted structure consists of a complex stem-loop region followed by a single stem loop terminator region. Lineage: Bacteria; Bacillati; Bacillota. The record is from RNAcentral.